UCCCCAUCUUCACCUCCAAGGGUUGUCCCUUGAGGAGCUCAGCUGAAGGAGCUCAGUUUUGUGAAAUACUGUAGGAGGAAAAUUAACUUCCCACCACACCUCCGUUUCUUAUAUUCUUAAAACUUCCAAGCCUGAUUCACUGGUGUAUGACUUCAGUUUCAAGUGAUUCUACAAUGGAUGUGCACAGGAGAAAGUGCCGCUGAAGCAGCACCAUGGAGGAUCAGACCCAUUAUCUUG
This is a non-coding RNA of Coturnix japonica (Japanese quail), 237 nucleotides long. Lineage: Eukaryota; Metazoa; Chordata; Aves; Galliformes; Phasianidae. The record is from RefSeq and is a predicted model, not a curated record.